CAGCAGCCGCGGGAAUACGGAGGGUGCAAGCGUUAUCCGGAUUUAUUGGGUUUAAAGGGUCCGUAGGCGGAUCUGUAAGUCAGUGGUGAAAUCUCACAGCUUAACUGUGAAACUGCCAUUGAUACUGCAGGUCUUGAGUAAAUUUGAAGUGGCUGGAAUAAGUAGUGUAGCGGUGAAAUGCAUAGAUAUUACUUAGAACACCAAUUGCGAAGGCAGGUCACUAAGAUUUAACUGACGCUGAUGGACGAAAGCGUGGGGAGCGAACAGGAUUAGAUACCCGGGUAGUCCCUGUCUCUUAUAC
This 301-nucleotide ribosomal RNA is filed under the name uncultured bacterium. Its description in RNAcentral is "partial 16S ribosomal RNA". It matches the Rfam family "Bacterial small subunit ribosomal RNA", at positions 509 to 807 of the family's 1533-position model. The record is from RNAcentral.